This 463-nucleotide long non-coding RNA is filed under the name Daucus carota (carrot). Its description in RNAcentral is "long non-coding RNA (DCAR_LNC007303)". The record is from RNAcentral. Lineage: Eukaryota; Viridiplantae; Streptophyta; Magnoliopsida; Apiales; Apiaceae.
CGUUAUCGUCCGUAAUAACUCUGGCCCAUGUAGUUUACAUUCUUCUACUUUAUCCCAGUUGCCCUUGAAAUCCAUAGCACAAACACGUAACGUAUCUUCGAUUGUCUGGAUCAUCAACCUGUGGGUUAUGGGCCCACCUUGAUGCCAUUUGAAAUCCCGAUUAGCUCGAAGCGUUGUCGUCGAGGACUAACGUUCUAACUUACUCGUAGACAUCAUCUCUAAUAACUGGACUCAAUUCCACGUAUUCUCUAUCAUUCACUUCUCACCUAUCAACCUCUAUCUACCAAUCUCUCCUUCUAAUCCAAUACAACUCAUACUCUACACUUACUCUUCAUAUCUCACAAAAACAAUAUACCUUUUUCCAAAUACCUAACAUGGUCAACAUACUAUGAACCAUGCAUCUUUAUCAUUCUCAAAUCAAUACAAUAGACCAUUUUCAACUAUGCAGUAUAGUCAGAAUACU